UGAGGAAUAUUGGUCAAUGGGCGGAAGCCUGAACCAGCCAUGCCGCGUGAAGGAAUAAGGCCCUAUGGGUCGUAAACUUCUUUUGACGGGGAGCAAUAAGAUCUACGUGUAGAUCGAUGAGAGUACUCGUCGAAUAAGCAUCGGCUAACUCCGUGCCAGCAGCCGCGGUAAUACGGAGGAUGCAAGCGUUAUCCGGAUUUAUUGGGUUUAAAGGGUGCGUAGGCUGUUUGUCAAGUCAGGGGUGAAAUACCGCAGCUCAACUGUGGAAUUGCCUCUGAUACUGGCAGGCUUGAAUACUGUUGCCGUGGGAGGAAUGAGUAGUGUAGCGGUGAAAUGCAUAGAUAUUACUCAGAACACCGAUUGCGAAGCAUCUCACGAAGCAGGGAUUGACGCUGAGGCACGAAAGCGUGGGGAU
Molecule: ribosomal RNA, 415 nt
Filed under: uncultured bacterium
Lineage: Bacteria
Description: bacterial SSU rRNA
Rfam family: Bacterial small subunit ribosomal RNA
Source: RNAcentral